UUACUUAAUGGAUGGAACUGUAUUCCUCAGAAAAGCUGCUCUGAAGGCUGUUUACUUAAUAAGUGAGUUGCCUGACUGAGUCAGAGCUGAGAGAGAAAAGGAGAGAGAAAACACCAGCCAGCUGAAAAGCCAGGAGAAAGCAGCAGAGAAAGAUGGUUUUGUAACCCAUAUCUCCCUUCAGGCUGUUCAUGCAAUAUUGUUUAUUUCACAUCUGCAAAACUGGGCCUCCCUUUUUUGGAAUGACAUUUCUCCUGAUUUCAAGGAGAUAAGAAGACAAAAGCACCCUGAUCCUAAACAAAAGAAAAUCGGAAGUAAACUUGGAUGGAAUAGAAUGUAUUCUAUUUGGACUUGGAUUGAAAUAGGGGCUUCUGUGAGAACAAGAAGGAUUUACUGCUGUUGCCCCACCUAGCACGGACACAGGGCUGAUUCAACCACACAUCUAAUGGCACUGCAGCUCACCAAAAGAAACAGAUCUCAUCUCCCAAACUCAGAAAUCUUUAUUUAUCAGAAGUAAUCUAUGCUCCAAGAGACUUUUUAAAUGCCAUGCAACUCCUUUUUUCAUUAUAAAGAAGUUCUUAUUGACCACAAGUUCAGCUUCACAAUGGACAGCACACA
Molecule: long non-coding RNA, 615 nt
Organism: Motacilla alba alba
Lineage: Eukaryota; Metazoa; Chordata; Aves; Passeriformes; Motacillidae
Exons: 4
Source: RefSeq, a predicted model, not a curated record